AACGCUGGCGGCGUGCCUGACACAUGCAAGUCAACGGGGUAACUCGCUGAAAUUGAGAUCAGCUUGCUGAAGGAGAUUCUUGAGUUACUUAGUGGCGGACGGGUGAGUAACGCGUGAGCAACCUGCCUUACAGAGGGGGACAACAGUUGGAAACGACUGCUAAUACCGCAUAACGUCGCGGGACCGCAUGAUCCUGCGACCAAAGAUUUAUCGCUGUAAGAUGGGCUCGCGUCCGAUUAGAUAGUUGGUGAGGUAACGGCCCACCAAGUCGACGAUCGGUAGCCGGACUGAGAGGUUGAACGGCCACAUUGGGACUGAGACACGGCCCAGACUCCUACGGGAGGCAGCAGUGGGGGAUAUUGCACAAUGGGCGCAAGCCUGAUGCAGCAACGCCGCGUGAAGGAAGAAGGUCUUCGGAUUGUAAACUUCUGUUUUCGGUGAAGAAACAAAUGACGGUAGCCGAAGAGGAAGCCACGGCUAACUACGUGCCAGCAGCUGC
Molecule: ribosomal RNA, 499 nt
Filed under: uncultured bacterium
Lineage: Bacteria
Description: bacterial SSU rRNA
Rfam family: Bacterial small subunit ribosomal RNA
Source: RNAcentral